Molecule: ribosomal RNA, 252 nt
Filed under: uncultured bacterium
Lineage: Bacteria
Description: partial 16S ribosomal RNA
Rfam family: Bacterial small subunit ribosomal RNA
Source: RNAcentral
UACGAAGGGGGCUAGCGUUGCUCGGAAUCACUGGGCGUAAAGGGUGCGUAGGCGGUCUCGCAAGUCUGGCGUGAAAGCCCAAGGCUCAGCCUUGGAAGUGCGCUCGAAACGGCGAGGCUGGAGUGCCGGAGGGGAGAGUGGAAUUCCUGGUGUAGCGGUGAAAUGCGCAGAUAUCGAGAGGAACACCUGCGGCGAAGGCGGGUUGCUGGGCUGAUACUGACGCUGAGGCGCGAAAGCCAGGGAGCGAACGGG